Non-coding RNA from Pelobates cultripes (western spadefoot toad), 206 nucleotides. The record is from the annotation of a GenBank genome assembly. Lineage: Eukaryota; Metazoa; Chordata; Amphibia; Anura; Pelobatidae.
GUCUCACUUUUUUCCUCAGUGGCAGGCCAUCACGAGAGAUCCGUGGGUUCUACAAACUGUGGCCAAAUUUCAGAUCGACUUUGUGGAACCUCCAAUACAAACAUCCGGCCCGCAGGCGAUAUGUAUGGACAAGGAGGCUUCUGGCAUGGUUCACUCUGAAACACUGUCCCUGAUGGACAAGGGCACAGUGGAGAGGGUGACAGGCC